Molecule: small nucleolar RNA, 96 nt
Filed under: Laticauda laticaudata (blue-ringed sea krait)
Lineage: Eukaryota; Metazoa; Chordata; Lepidosauria; Squamata; Elapidae
Description: Small nucleolar RNA U3 (ENSLLTG00000010287.1)
Rfam family: Small nucleolar RNA U3 (bases 1-41)
Source: Rfam by way of RNAcentral
AAGACUAUACUUUCAGGGAUCAUUUCUAUAGUAUCCAACCAGUGGUGGGAUUCAAAAAUUUUUACUACCAGUUCUGUGGAUGUAGCUUGGUAGAAA